CACUGGUGGAAAUUUCCUGUGUGUAAGCUCAUCUGGACAUCAGAGUGAAGAAGUCUCCAUCAGUGUCUCAGGCAAAGAUGUGAUCCUGGAGAUUCCUGCACUUCCUGUCAUGACAGGAAGUGAUGUCACUUUGUGCUGUACACCCAAAGAGGGAGAAAGACGAAAGUCUCACUUCUUCAGAGAUAAUGUUACACUUGGAUCUGGACCUGAAGGAAAGUGGAUUCUCUCUAACGUCCAGCGGUCUGAUGAAGGUCUCUACUGGUGUUAUACUGAUAUUCAUCCACCUUCUCCUCAGAGCAGACUGAGGGUCAGAGUAGACUCCCCCUCCCCUCGUUCUUCUGCUCCCCCCAUCACCCCUCUUCCUCCCCCUCCCUCUAUGUCAGUGCUCAGACUCGUCUUGCACCUGGUGGUCUUCUGUCCAUACGUGGCCUGCACUGCUCUGCUGCUGUCC
Long non-coding RNA from Maylandia zebra (zebra mbuna), 451 nucleotides. RefSeq lists it as uncharacterized. Lineage: Eukaryota; Metazoa; Chordata; Actinopteri; Cichliformes; Cichlidae. The record is from RefSeq and is a predicted model, not a curated record.